RNAcentral lists this non-coding RNA (98 nucleotides) under Marisediminitalea aggregata. Lineage: Bacteria; Pseudomonadati; Pseudomonadota; Gammaproteobacteria; Alteromonadales; Alteromonadaceae. The record is from RNAcentral.
GCAACGCUCCGCCGUCAUAGGAAGACACACCAGACCACGAGCGUGUUUAACCAUAAAGUUAAUGGCUUCCGGCGUGACAUGCUCGGCCGCCAUAAUCA